Non-coding RNA from Punica granatum (pomegranate), 1169 nucleotides. The record is from RefSeq and is a predicted model, not a curated record. Lineage: Eukaryota; Viridiplantae; Streptophyta; Magnoliopsida; Myrtales; Lythraceae.
CGAGAAAAUGAUAAUGAUAAAUAAAACAUCUCCAAAUGAACAACUUCAAAAAUGGCUGUCGUCCUCCGUCUCGACCCGCUGAGGCCAUUCUCAGCCAACUGCGUCGCCUCCCGUCGCCAGAACCCUAGAUUCUGUCCUUUGAAUUUCCAACAACAUCAAAAUCGGAGCUCCAUAAUCGGCACUUCCUUCAAUCUUCGCCGUGGUCGGGGCUCAGUUGCCAGUCAGCUAGACAGCGGCUCAGACCCUAACAGCCCUCAAGAUGAAAAGGAGGACAGUGCGGGAGUCAAAGUGGCUUUGUCCAUGCUCAGAUUCUACAAGAGAGAAAUUUCGCCUCUGUUGCCAAACAGUUGCCGGUACAUUCCGACCUGCAGUGAGUACUCCAUGGAAGCUUACAAGAAGUACGGGGUCGCGAAAGGCACUGUCUUGACUGCGUGGCGUCUUUGUCGUUGCAACCCUCUCGGUGGGUCGGGUUUUGAUCCUCCGCGAUGGUUCAAUGAGGAGCGCCCUAGUCCUGAGGAGUGAAACUCCAGCAGUGAGGUUUUCUAAUUUGAAAGGCCCAAUUAAUCUGCUUUCCACAAUCAAGAAAAACAAAAGAAGAGACCCAGAUGAAAUCAGGAUGAAGGAAAGACAUACAUCGUCAGCUUCAUCCACAGGAAGUGGCAAGAUUCAAGCACUUUCAGUUGCAGGGGCUGUUCAUUUUCAGACCAUCCAGAUUUUUAAACACCUGGCUCGACCCGAUGUUCAAAGGAAUACCUCUAUUCGGUGUGCUUGCUGCAGAGGAUCCGCUCUUUGCUGACGGACUCGUUAUUCUGCGGCUCCUCAUGUUAACUUAUCAGAGUGAGAUGCAUUGGUAGGACACCCAAUAAGUUAUGGACCUGUGGGCUAGACGGCGGGAGUGAUCUUGUUAGACAUUGCAUGCGACGUUUAAUUAUUUUCGAAUCCAAUGAACUUGGAAAUGAAUCCCCUCACCGUUAGAUCUGCCGAUGGUCCCCUACUCAAAUGGCAGUGCAUCUGAUGGCUCUCGUAUAUUAUUUUUAAAUAUUUACAUGUACCUGUGUGAUUUGCAGCAAUGAUUGGGUAGUAGUAAGUGGGAGGUCAACGGAUUGUUUUCCAAUUUGCCAAAAUUGUUUAUAGGAAUAAUGGAAUCGAUCGACGUCCCAACUUUGAAA